Molecule: signal recognition particle RNA, 99 nt
Filed under: Alphaproteobacteria bacterium
Lineage: Bacteria; Pseudomonadati; Pseudomonadota; Alphaproteobacteria
Also listed under: 1 other name
Description: signal recognition particle sRNA small type
Rfam family: Bacterial small signal recognition particle RNA
About the family: The signal recognition particle (SRP) is a universally conserved ribonucleoprotein involved in the co-translational targeting of proteins to membranes. Archaeal SRP consists of a 7S RNA and homologues of the eukaryotic SRP19 and SRP54 proteins.
Source: RNAcentral
GGAAGGUCGGCGCGGGCGAAAGCCUUGCCAAUCCGGUCAGGUCCGAAAGGAAGCAGCCGCACGUGAGAAUUUUUCGGGUCGUUAGUCCGGCCUUCCACU